This is a long non-coding RNA of Triticum dicoccoides, 2213 nucleotides long. RefSeq lists it as uncharacterized. The record is from RefSeq and is a predicted model, not a curated record. Lineage: Eukaryota; Viridiplantae; Streptophyta; Magnoliopsida; Poales; Poaceae. The transcript is spliced from 4 exons.
CGCAACCCUGCCCAUCGAUAAUUCAUUUGUUCGCAGCCCCUACCAUCGAUCAAAAUCAUCUCGCACCCACCGAUUUUUUGGUAGCGCAUGCCCUAUGCCGGUAUUUUCUGAUUUGUUUCUAUUGCUCACCCUUUGAGAUCGAUCUCCUUCCCGAUUCAUCCUGGAAAACAAAUCCUACCGAUUAUGAGUUUUAUUUCCAUUCUUUUCAAACCGAGCCCCACCCGAUCUGAAUCUAGACAAGGGGUUUUCCCUCCCUUCCAAGUUCAAACCCAUCACGUCUGUUCUGCCAGCCAUGGAAGAGAGGUCGGGGAGGGGAGCGUGGUGGCAUGUGGACCAACAAGCAGGAAAAGGACAUGCCGAUGCAGGCAGUGGCUCCUCUACCGCUCACCACGACCCCACUGCUGGUCGUGUGCUGGUUCUCCAUCCACCCCCACCUCCAACUCGAUCUUCGGUUGUCGCUAAUAGCUAGUCUGCGACCGUUCUGUGGGCCUACAGUGGUGCUGAUCCAAGAUGAUGUUGCCUUGCCCUUGAGCACGCCGCCGCGGAUGGCAGCGGCGCACAAUCAUCCGUUUCCGUGAGCCUGCCUCCACCGUGGUCGUGAUGGCCAUGCCCCAGUUGCGCUCAAGGCCCUCGCCUGCACACCUCUCACGAAAACCCUACCCAUUAGUUCUCCGCUGCCGCCCUACCCGAUGCACACCAUGUCGGAUCCUUCCUAUGGCCUGUGCCCCUGCCCACGCACUACCCAGGCAUGAGGGCCAUAGCAAGGGCCCGUCCGAUACACACACAUCACAGUCCACCAAAGAAUUGUUGCCCCGAGCAAAGGUGGGUUCGGUGGCGCCGGUGGAGGAAGAAUUGUCAAUGAGAACCUGGACUUAGAUGCAGGGUCAUCGAAGAGAAGGACAACACCCCAGCCUUCAUACACAUGAUGGAACACACAUUGCCGACGAUGCGGUACCAGGCCUACGGAAGAGAUCCUGAGGUAUGUAUGAAGCCUUCAGAGCUUUUUAGUUGAGCGACUGCAUAACUGAAGAAUUUUGUGUGUGUAGUCUUUCAAAGUUGAUUUAGACACCUUAGAAUUCAAGAUCAUGGUUGUCUGAUCUUUUCAAAAUUAUAUCAAUUAUUGUACUGUUUUCGGAUUGAUGAUGAGAGAUGUAGAUUUCUGAGAUUAGUUGCAAUGAAAUUUGGUUCAGUAAUUCAAUGCUUAGACAUACAAGAUGCUAUACUAGAGCUCAGGAUAAAAAAGUUUGGUCACUUUGUUUCAUUCUAUAAUGCCCGCCGCAGUACUGCAUUAGCACUAUCUUCAAAGAUGCGUUCCCAGAUGUUGUUAGGGAUUUCUUCUGGGGAUGAUGACUUAUGGAUCAAGAACACUUGCGACGAUAUGCUUCUGCAGCGUGAGACAUUGAAUGUGUGCAUAAAGACUAGAACGAUAGUUGUUUGCUGGGUCAGGAAGGUGAGGUAUCUGCGUGAUAUCCCUCGCAAUCUUUGUGAAAAAGCAUGACACUACUUGCCUUGCAUGUGUUCUGCAAUGACAAGGAGUAUGCUAUCGGCCACAGGGUAUGGGCUUCUGGAAAGACGUACUAGUGCGCUAAUAAGGCCAGCAGCCCGGGGCGCAAUGAUGUGCCUGUGAACUCGCCGCUGUCCGUGCAUAUCGGGCAUCCAAGCGUGCCCAGUAGUCACAUGGUCGCCCCGCAGAUGAAAAAAUCAGUUUUUGCAGAUAUUAUGAGGCCGAGUUGGGCGUUGAACCAGCAGUCCACGGUGGCGAGGAACCUGGUUACGAUAGGGUUGCGUAUCAUCGAGCCCGGCACUGAGCAUGUGCAUGGCCCAGCCUUCUGCUGACGGCAAUGCGGCUCCCUGUUUAUUAUUGACGUGAGAUUAUGUGGGAUGUAGGAUGUCCGCUUGUCCCAUCAAAAAUUAUGUGGACACAUAUGGGCCUCCCACUUAUAUUAUGCAGCAGAUGUAGUUGUGGAUGUGGAUUGGGGUUAGUUUGUUGAGUUACAGUUGUCUGAGCGAAAUAAUUUUCCUACUUUAGAAAAUAUGGCAAAUAGUGUUGCAUUAGAGAUGGCUUUGUAACAAAUUGCAUGAGUAGUUUAUAUUUUUUCCAUCAAGUCGUACAAUUUUUUGGUUAGGUUCGAAGGGUAAAUGCAUUGGUUGGUUGCUUCAAGACUUAAUAAUGGACAUGGUGGCAUAUUUGUGGCAUGCCCAAUAAUGGACAU